CGUUAAUAGCAGAGCCAAAUCUAUUUGUUUCGAAAAGCGUCGGCCUGCUAUGCAGCUGCUUCGAACACUAAUUUCUGCAAAUAACUUAAGGUUUCAUUUGCAAGAAGAUUCCAUACACAGAAACCUUCUUAGAAGGAAAGGUCAACAAGAGAAUCAAGUCAAAUAAUGGACUGCGUUUAUGUCCCUAACUGCGAGCGAAAUAAACACAAUGGUAGUAAUAUUUACCGCAUACACCGCGGUGUCAAAUUAAAAUCUCAUAUUUGAAGUGACAGCAAUCCUUAGAGUAAGCCUUUAAGGACCGCCCAAAUUUAAAUCGACCUGAAUGUUUGAAAAUAUUGCGCUGUAAUGUAUUAGGAAAGCCGCAAAACAAGCUGUACGAAGCUUACGAUUACUGAAGACCCACGGAAAGUUAGAAAUGCUUUUCUUCACAUGGCAAACUUGAAUUAAAAAAUCUUGCACUUUGCGCGACAAUUAAUUCAACUAUUUACGAAUUACAGCGUCAAGCCAGAAAAGCACCCUGUUGUGCCGUUCAUUUAUCCUUAAUCGAACAGCGUAUAGAUAUUCUAAAGAAGGUGAAAAAACAAAAGUUGCUUGCUCUCAAUUUAAAUCUGUACAGAUGUCAAGUACUACAGAGUAAUCGAAAACAAUUAACGAAAAAGCGACUUUGACAAAUGUUUGACUGAGGGGCUGUAGUCGUUGUCAGGUACUUCUGGGUUCGAUUUCGGUGCAGCGCAAGCUUCCUCAAAACUGACUGAAAGAACGAUAAAUGCAAAUUUGUACAUGAAAAGGAAACUGUGUUACAUGAACAUCCAAGUGAUCUGCAUUCAAAUACGACAUUGUUGAAACUGAUACAGAUUACAUGCUAGAUUUCAAGCACGGAAAUUAUCAAUGACUGUUAUUAAAUGACUUCCUCAGCCCACGACCACCGACGUAAGCGACGCCAUGUUUGUUUGGGUCAGAUAACGCCACUUAUCAACAGAUACAGAUCCCACAGCUCAUAUACGAUAACAAAGUGUCAUUUGAAGAGUCCACAAAUGAAGGAAAUAGUAAAAGCGAUAUCUCACGAAACGUCAAACAUGCUUCGUUGAUGGACAGACCUGGAGGCCAAGCAAGCUGACCAAACCCAAGUGCACUAAGGAUUUCAUCCUUGGCAAAGUUGGCUCCUUGCGCUUUGUGACAUGAAAAUCAAGACGACCAACCCAUUAUGGGCUUUCAAGGUGGUAGUCGUGUUGCAGAUCAUAGAAACAUUCGGUAUGGCAUUCUACAACCAUAAAUGAGCCUUUAAAAGGUCAAGUAGUGGCAAAUACCAGCGAAGAGGUUCAUUGCCAAGUGAAAUCGAGUCCAAGUUUUCAUUUCAGAGUUCGUGUUUGUGUUUUUGAGUAGACGUCGUUCUGGAGAACGGCAACAACAGAGCUGCAGAAAGAACAAUGUGGUAGGGAACAGUGUAGCUUCAGUCACCUCUAUUUUGUAUUCUUCUUAAUUUCAUUUCAAUUCCAUGCCUUGGACGUGUUGGGCGUUUUAUCUCUUAUUUUGCUGUUAUUAGGACGUGAUAUAGCAAAGCAAAAGAUAUUAAGUUUUGAUUCUUAUCAUAAAUUGGAGACUAUUGGAAUUAUAAGCAUUGCUCAAAUAAAUAAAAAAAAAAAACGACAACAGUGAAUUAGAUGAGGUUUAAGAAUCAAAACGUGCAGUUUUAAGAAUGUAGAAAUAAUAAAGGUAUGACUUUUAAACAUCAAAUUAAGAGACUGUGCUGAUGUGCAAGUUUUCUCAGUAAAUCGCCAGAAAAAAUCUCAAAAUCCAAGGAUGAGACAACUACCAUCGGUUAAGUUGAGGAAAAAACAUUGCAUCAUAUAAUAAGAAAUUUGUAUUGCCGGGUGUAUUGAAGUAAAAUACAUCUCAAGUACAACUGAAAGUUCAUGUCACUGGCAAAAUUGAAAGCCGCCUAUCUCGGCUAACACGAUAUAUGGCACUGUCAAGCUACUUCCGCAGCAACACAGUGAGGGUGAUGCAUUGCCGGCAUUGCACAGUCUGUAAAAGGGUACAACAAACUAUCAACGAGAUCAUUUAAGGGUAACACGAUACAAUUCCUGCAAGCCAACUGCAAGCAAACAAACCCCUGGAUUCCUAGUGGAAAUAGGGGAGCUACGAGCUUCAGUCUUCGCAAAUCCUGAGUGCCACGGCAAAAUAGUCGAGUCAUGAAUAUAGAACACAGACGGAAGCAUUCCCUUUUAAUUGGAUUAAGAUCGAAUUGAGAGGUGUUCAACUGAAGCAUAUUAACUUAACUAAUGAGGAGCUUGAGGAUUACAAAUCUGCUAAAGAGCCUUGUUUAGUUGUGUUAAAGCAAAUGGACCACUGAGUACUGAGGUUUUACACUCAAAUAUACCAUAAGUGCUGCAUGCAUGUAUAUUGAUCAGUUCAGCAAGUAAUUCCAAAUUCCUUCUCAAUUCAUUUCCCCACAGAUAAAUGACAAAUUAUAUGGCUAUCAUGAUUCAGGGCUGAAAAUACGACUUAGGUGAAGGCAUUCAUCCAAAUAAUUCUGUCGGCCAUCCGGAGCAUGUUGAUCAAACAUUGAAACUCGGAUAUUCUAUCACCAUGCAGUUACAAGGUGAACUGUCUCAAUAAUUCCAGCAAAAGCCAUCGUACCGUAGCUGAAACUGUUACUUAAGACUGUCUGCUAACAAGAGCCAAGUACUCUACAGAAGUGGAUUACACUAACACACCGUUGAGUUUAACUGAAUACCUUGCCUUUUCACUUAGGCUUGCGUCUAAGUAUUAUUAAUGGCUUGAACGAGAGACGUGCUUUGCUGAUCCACGGCUGAGAAUUGCGGCCAGGAUUUUUGAUACGUUCUGUCAACACGUGCCUUAAUGGAAGGUUUAAAUUGCGAAGGAUUCAUUAAACAUAAUUUCAUCAGCUCAGAAAACUGCAUUUUAAAAAAAUCUAUUGUAGCUCAAGUUUACGAAAAACAAGUAAUUCCUUUCAUUCGCCUUGGUAGAAUUAUCAUGAAGACUGAGUAGAUUUCCCACAUUUAGAUCGUCGGUAAUUCUAGGGUAAUAUCGAAGGCGCCCUUGCCGUAAUUUCACCGUGAAUGGACCUGAAAAGCAUCGACGACUGUGUUUCCAAUAACCUUCUUGAAAGUGUCGUGUUUUAAAACUGCAAAGCCAUUUUAUUUUCAUCGCAUUCGGUGGCUUAACUAGACUCAAGACUAAGAAAAGACGGAUACCAGUCCGCAAUUCGUUGUAUCUUAGUGAACGUUUCGUUACAUUUUCAAAACAAAACGAAGUGUUCAUUAUAUUUCAUGAAGUAAUGACGAGCUUUUUUUUCUCAAAAUAUGUGACUGAGAGUGCGCAAAUUAUAGUGCACAGAUGUUCAGCAUGCCUUUUCGUUGACUGAUGGUUAAUGUAUCUUAGACCGUCUAAAGCUAAAGCCGGCCUAUGAGACAGGAAACAAUAAAAAUGACCCGAUUUCUUCAACAAAUAUCUGUAAUUUACACCCAUUUCUAGUUGUAUUAUUUUUACUAUUACUUAUUUUAAAGGAAGGUCUUUUUUCUACGAUAUUAUAGUAAACCAAAAAUUUCUGUGGAUUCAAGGCAAUUUUUCAAUAGUUAUCUGAUCCGAUCUUUAAUGUUUUUCUCUGAAGUUCACACACGAACGAACUUAAAAUAGGGCGCAUAAUAAGAACUACUAAUUGCAAUGCAAAAAGGCGACCAUUUGGGAACCGCAACAAUAUCUGGCGCAAAAGCUAAAAAUUCCACUUAAGUAAGUGCUCUUCUUGUUUGUUUUUGAUAUCUUAGUUCGAGAUAAAAUCAAUAUGAGCCUCGAUUUUGCCCUGAUUUCAGGUACGAUACGUGAUAGACAGUAAUUACUGAGAUUUCAACCAAAUGCGACGCAUCUGCUACUAGACGGUGAAAUACAACUCCAUAUGCAAAUAUUGCGUGAGAAUCACCAGAAAAUAUUUCGCUUUGCGAAGGCUAAAGGCAAUUUUCAAUUGAUGAUUGCAACUACCCUUACCAGAUAUGGUGUGAAUUUCCUAAAAUAAAAUUGUUUAUUCUGAUAUUUAAAGCGCUUUAUGUUCAUAUCGGUUUUGUUUGGUUUCGGAUGUAUUACUGCAAAUACCUCUUUUCCGGUGCUUUUAGGUGUCAUAAAAGCUUUCAGAUAGCGAUAAUCUACCGAUACGACAGACCAUCAAAAACUGAGGCUAGACAUUUUCAUAGCCUUGAACUCCAGGCGAUUAAUGGGAAAUUUGCGCAAAGCUUUUUGUUCUGUUCUAUUUUAUUUUUAUCAAGUUUUCCUCGGCAGUAGCCAUUUGAGAUUUCUCGGGAUUUGGACGCAGAUAACCUUUUAAAGAUAGAUAUAGCUGUUUGCAUUAUCUGCGCUUCAGUUUGGCAAAUAUUUGGACGAUGCCCUGUAACUGACAGAUCGAUAAGCUUAAAGUGUUUUCUUCUUAAAUCUCCUGUCGAGAAAUGUCUCCGCAUUCUUCGGAGUUAUUGAGCUAAACCGCACCUGACAAACUUUGACCCGAGGUUUUCUCUGAGCGUUGAUAGCGUAUCUUUUACAAUAAGACUUUCACUCGGCUGUUAUCUCCUAAAAAAACCUUUGAAUCGAGAUUCGAAACAUCUGCUCAGCGCUGCUACCCAAAAAAUAAGUUCUCAAGGCUAGAUUUUAGUUUUUGGAGUUGCCGCUAAUAGAACCAACGAAAAGGCCAAACGUGAUUUGAUUAAUUCUCCGCCAUCACUAAGUGAUUGCAGCCAUUAGAGACAUUUUUGGCCCCGAACUUUUCACGAUGACCGCUCUGUUUACAGUUGAGGCGUAUUACACGUAGACAUUAUGAUAAUUAACCAUUGUUGGGUGGCAAUCAUUAAGAGUGCAUUUGACAUAAGUUUGACAUCUUUAUCGAUAAAGCAACCCUCACAGCAAUGUAACGCAAAACGGUAUUCAGUCCUUUGAGGGCACUGUUUGGACGCCAUUUGUAGCAAAGAAGAAUAGAAAUAGUAAGCAAUUAGCGCGCUUUUAACAAACCCUAAGGCCAAGUGCUAAUCGUUAUAACACGCUGUCACUUUCAGGCUGUUUCUACAAAGGGAUCUAUUAGCGAGUUUCUUUUUCUUCUUUUUUUUCAAAUGCUAAUCGAGUGGUUGAAAAUAGUUCGAAAAGACGAGUUAGCAAGGAAUAGUGUCAAUGGAUACGAACAAAAGAUUUUCCAUUAAUGUAAAGGCACAACAGCUGAAUGGGAGAUGACACUAACGCAAAACAGCUCACUUAGCGCGGGCUGAAAAGAAAAAAAAAGCUACAGCCCCAAAAAGAAACCCCAAAACUAAUAUCCAGUAAACCGAUCGCGUAUUACUGUAAUAUAGAUUACAAGAGAACAGUAAAUACUCAUUGUAUUCGAACAACUUUACUAUUUUCUCUGUCAAUCCUUCUCUUUUAAACUGAUGAUAGCGACUUAAAAUCCGUCGCAUCAUCAAAACAUGAAAAUGUCAGCCACGAUGCGUUGCAUUUCUUUUCUUUCUUUUUUUUUUUUUUCAAGUCAUCCAACAUCUAGUAGCCCGGUACGAAGAGAUUUUAUGUUACAAGAACUGCGCCCAUCGCAUAUUAUAUUUAUAUAUUUGAACAUUUACAACGAUAUUUCUCUGUACAACAAUUCAAAAUUCGGCAAUAAACUUUAUGUAGCUUUUUCAAGUGUUCCUCUUGCAUGUAUUAUUUUUUAAGAGAGUGUUGCGCUUCGUUUUGGCUCCACAAACCAAUAUUAAAUAUCUGCCAUCCACAGCGUUCGUUAUUUCUUUUUCUUUUCUUGUAGUCAGUCGUCCUCUGCUUCUCUCUUUGAUUGUUCGAAAGCGUUGUUUUUAAAUUUUUCUUCUGAGAUUCACUCGCCUUUGCGUAGGUCGUCUGUUGAACUGGAAA
Orbicella faveolata is the source of this 5892-nucleotide long non-coding RNA. NCBI's taxonomy places the organism in Eukaryota, Metazoa, Cnidaria, Anthozoa, Scleractinia, Merulinidae. The record is from RefSeq and is a predicted model, not a curated record.